Molecule: ribosomal RNA, 403 nt
Filed under: uncultured bacterium
Lineage: Bacteria
Description: bacterial SSU rRNA
Rfam family: Bacterial small subunit ribosomal RNA
Source: RNAcentral
UGAGGAAUAUUGCCCAAUGGAGGAAAUUCUGAGGCAGCGACGCCGCGUGGGUGAAGAAGGUCUUCGGAUCGUAAAGCCCUUUUCUGCGUGACGAGGAAGGACGGUAGCGCAGGAAAAAGUCUCGGCUAACUACGUGUCAGCAGCCGCGGUAAAACGUAGGAGGCAAGCGUUAUCCGGAGUUACUGGGCGUAAAGCGCGCGCAGGCGGAUGGAUAAGUGGGUUGUGAAAGCGCUCGGCUAAACCGGGCGAGGACAAAUCAGACUGUUCAUCUAGAGGCGGAUAGAGGAGCGUGGAAUUCCGGGUGUAGCGGUGAAAUGUGUAGAGAUCCGGAGGAACACCAGUGGUGCAAACGACGCUCUGGGUCCGAACUGACGCUGAGGCGCGAAAGCGUGGGGAGCGAACG